CCGUUUCAACAAAAAUUUACCAAAAUUACAAAUCAAAAACAAUGGCAUACUACGACUUGUAGUGCCGUUUGGAAGCGUUGGAAAUGUUAUUUGAGCCAAUCAGUAUCCUACUUGAAUUUCUUCUUGCCGUGGACACGUGUAUACCGAAACAGGAAACCUGAUUUUAGUCGGUGCUGCUCAACCGUGCGACGAGACAGCGGGAGCAACUGUGAACAUUAGGGAUAGUUGGUGAGGGUUGGGAAACCUAACCUUAACCAAUCACGCUAAUCGUUAACCAGAUCGGCCAAUCAAAGGCGAUUCUAUGGAAAGCCAUUAACGUACCUUACCC
Molecule: non-coding RNA, 328 nt
Organism: Paramuricea clavata
Lineage: Eukaryota; Metazoa; Cnidaria; Anthozoa; Malacalcyonacea; Plexauridae
Source: the annotation of a GenBank genome assembly